AAUCCUGGCUCAGGACGAACGCUGGCGGCGUGCCUAAUACAUGCAAGUAGAACGCUGAAGGAGGAGCUUGCUUCUCUGGAUGAGUUGCGAACGGGUGAGUAACGCGUAGGUAACCUGCCUGGUAGCGGGGGAUAACUAUUGGAAACGAUAGCUAAUACCGCAUAACAGUAGAUGUUGCAUGACAUUUGCUUAAAAGGUGCAAUUGCACCACUACCAGAUGGACCUGCGUUGUA
This 233-nucleotide ribosomal RNA is filed under the name uncultured bacterium. Its description in RNAcentral is "partial 16S ribosomal RNA". It matches the Rfam family "Bacterial small subunit ribosomal RNA", at positions 15 to 240 of the family's 1533-position model. The record is from RNAcentral.